Molecule: long non-coding RNA, 353 nt
Organism: Ictalurus punctatus (channel catfish)
Lineage: Eukaryota; Metazoa; Chordata; Actinopteri; Siluriformes; Ictaluridae
Exons: 4
Source: RefSeq, a predicted model, not a curated record
UGUGUGUGUGUGUGUGUGUGUGUGUGUGUGUGUGUAGUCUUUCUGCUCAGUUCAAUUAUUUAAAAUUUGACUCUUUAUUUAUUGCAGUGUGAGUCGACGACAAGGUGGCAGCAGCUCGUCCUCGUCCUCGUCCUCGUCCUCAUCCUCAUCAUAAAUGUUUGUGGAGAAUGAAGAGCUCAGGGCCGGCAGACGGAUGGUGGAGGAGCGAAGGAUGAUGAGGUGUUGAAUACGGGACAGAGGAGAUGAGGAGACCGCUCAUCAAUCACACCCGGCCCUGUGUGAUUAUCCUGAGCGUUAGCAUCCCGGAGAUGAUGCCUGGACAAUUCCCCAAGCAACAAGAUGACAUCAUCAAA